UUUCUACAAAACUUUAUUUAUGAGGAAUAGUCUCCCUGGAUAGAGCUUUAAAAUAAUUAAUUGUUCACCAGAGAAAUUAUUCCACACAAAUACAGUACCAUUCCUAAUC
This 109-nucleotide microRNA precursor is filed under the name Brugia malayi. Its description in RNAcentral is "microRNA bma-mir-36d precursor". Its record names the gene bma-mir-36d. The record is from miRBase by way of RNAcentral. Lineage: Eukaryota; Metazoa; Nematoda; Chromadorea; Rhabditida; Onchocercidae.